RNA transcript from Gymnodraco acuticeps, 3286 nucleotides. It is a transcript of the gene named WD repeat-containing protein 91-like, with no coding region annotated. The record is from RefSeq and is a predicted model, not a curated record. NCBI's taxonomy places the organism in Eukaryota, Metazoa, Chordata, Actinopteri, Perciformes, Bathydraconidae. The transcript has 5 exons.
GAAGAAAGUGAAGAAGCAGGAAUAUUUGGAAAGUAAAAAGGCUUGGAAAAGCAGCAGAAUAUUUUAACUGCAAACUUUUUAACUAAAACCAUGUGUCACCAAUAAUGUAUAAAAUAUGUGGAAGAUGUUGAAGUGUGUUUGGAGUUUCCAUCAGACAGUAUAGGCUGAGACAGUCUAUUAAACUCCAGUCUGUUUGUCGGGUUUUUUGUCUGUGCUGAGCACCUAAUCAUAACACCUGUGUGCCCAGAGAUCAAAGGUUUCCAUGGAGAUGUGCAGUGAUCUUUCCAUUAAUCUGAAUGAGAGAUAAACCUCUUACAUUUCUAACUUUUGUUGAAUAACCAUAGCAGCUAUCGGUAAAAUGUCAAUGCGUGCAGCAUGUCAGUACCGCGAGGAGCGUCUCAGUGUGCUUUUUGUGUACUUUUGGGUGAAUAAUGUGGCUUUAUUGGCAGAUUAACUAAAGGUGUGCGGCUGUGAUGAAAGAUGAGGCUGAAUUUACAAUGAUGGAGACAUGUUGAAAGCCUUUGUCACUUCAUGCCCUCAAGAGGCAUUUUGUUUCAUUUUUUUGCUUAAUUUUCUUCUUUUUUUCAACGUAAGAGAGGGUUUCCUAUGUUUUUUGAAGUUGAAGAAUAAAGAUUUGAAGAACAAUAGUGGAAUACUGUUGCACAGCAAGAGGGGGAGGAGGAGGAGGAGGAGGAGUUUAAAGAAGAAUAAGCAAUGGCAUUUAAGGUACAAUUACAAGUGUUAUGAUAUUAGGGCCAUACAGAGUCAGAUCGCUUUCCCUUUAAGGGAGAGAGAUGGGUGUGGCGCGUGCAUUUGUGUGUGUGCAUGGUAGAGCGAGCGAGUGAGGUGGUAUGUGUUUUGAAGCGAACGAAGCAGCAGCAAAAUAGGUCUGUUGAGUGUCUUCAAAGUUAGAUCUGUAACAAAGACCUCAAUAAAUGCAACGGCCUGCCAAAGAAGAGCUCGCCUGUCUGCCUUAUUGAAAUGUGGGUUAUUUAACCCAAAGUUUGUUGCUUCGGCCCUGGAAGACUGCAGAGCGUCAUCCCCUGUUUUCCUCGACUAUGGUCUGGGAGCCGACAGGAAAGUUUAACACAAGAAUCCUUAUUAACUAAAAUAGCAGCAUCAUCUCAAACAACAAACACAGUCUCUUAGAGCAGCUGACAACGGCUGCAGGGAGGCACCUUUCGAGUAAUGGUGCACCGUCCAACACUAGAGCUGACAUCCUCCAACAACCCAUAAUGAAAGAGCUUGAGAGAAGUGAACGUGAGGACAAAGAAAAACCUAAAACUUGAUGUUUGCCCUAUUUACUGCUAUCGGCACAUCGGCAAAUGAGGUGACAUUCACAGAUGGCAGCCGCUGAUGCUUUUGUUAUUUUUGUUCACGUUCCGUCAUAACAUCUGCGGCACCGGUAGAUCGUUUAUAUUAAAAAAAAACAUUAACUAAAGAAAACAAAAAACAACAUGUCGGCACUGUGGGACUAUUUCAGUUUCACUCAGAGAUCCACGAUUUGCGGUUUGCAAAAAGUGUUCCUCUCCCCCUCUCCUGACAGCCCAUCCGUAUCCGUCUCAUGCAGCUCGCUGAUCCACUAAUGAGUGAUCCGACAGUAAAGAAUAAAUAUAUUUAUAACUAGUUUAGGUAGAUUCAGAGGUAGAUAAAAUAGCUAAGUGUGAUAGGUCUAACUCUAAAGGUGUGUUUUGCUCCGCUCACCGGUCCCCUCACAGCGGGCAGAGCUGCAGGUGAUCCGCUGCGUACUUUCUAAACAGCGUACUAUGUUAUAAUAACGAACUUGCUCAGCCUUUGAAACUGAAACCAUUUUGCGCGAAAAAAUUAUUCAAAAAACAUAAAACAUUGGCAUCGGCCAAAUAGUUUUAAUUAACAUCGGCAUCGGCCAAGAAAUGUAGCAUUGAUGCAUCCCUAAAUACAAUAUAACAGUAAUGUAACCUGAUAACUACCCAUUGCUUUUUGAUUUAUUUAAUAUCAAUCCAAUGCAAGAAAAUACAAGACAAAAUACAUAUCAAUAAGAUAAUUAUUUGUAUAACAACAGAACAAUGAAAACCAAGAUAAAUAUCUUGGUUUCUCGUUUCAUGUUACUUCUUUCAAUGUGCACAUGUGCUUCAUAAUAAAUUGUUCGUUAAAAUAUGAUACAUUCUUAUCCUGCUAGUUAUUAAUGCAUUUUUUGUAUAAAUGGAACAGUAAUCUGAUAAUGUAUUUUUUUUAACUGUAUUGGACAUUUUUAUUUUUGUAUCCUGAUGAUUAUAUUUAAACCAGAAUACUGCACAGUGCCCACGCCUGAGUAUAAUCUUUCUGUCCCUCAGCUCCAAUUCUCUUUAGAACCUGACCCAGUAGCCGUGAACUGCACCGCCUUUAACCACAACGGGAACCUGCUGGUGACCGGAGCCGCUGACGGAGUCAUCCGCCUGUUUGGUCAGUCGGACUCAAUUGUCUGACUAUCAUUAAAAACCAUGAUCAUUUCUUAUUUUUUACACUUUUUACAACCAUUUCAAAAGUUUAAAUCAGUCCUGUGUGUUAUAUCUUUGUGAAGCAGGUCAGUACUUUACACAGCACAGUUGGCCUCUGGGGAGAGCUGGACAGUUGAAAUUAUUUCCUGUUUGACCACUAUUACUAGCUGUUUUUACUGCAAGGCCCUGCACCCUCCCUCGUGGUGAUCAAGGAGCAAUUGAUAUAUGCAGCGGUAUGAGAGUGCGAUGAGCUGGAGAGCUCACGACGGAGAAGUGUACAGUGUGGAGUUCAGCUACGAUGAAAAUAGUCUUCAGCAUCGGAGAAGAUGGCAAGUUCAUCCAGUGGAACAUCCACCGAUGUGGGGUAAAGCAGUCGGAGCAGGCGUUAGCUCAGGAUGCCACGGGGCCCUUCAUCCUGUCAGGUUACAGCGGAUACAAACAGAUUUCCACUGAGGCAGAGACUCUGCAUGAAGAUGCUGCCAUGACAUCUGAGUCCCACUAUGAUGACAUUACACAGAGUCUCUUGAAAAUGCUGUGGAGAGGAAUCCCAGGAGGAUGCAAAAACAGAAGUGGUCUCCAAAAGAGGUGGCAGCAGUUUUGAGACACUUUAAUGCACACCAAGGGGAAAGUGGCCACGAUGAUAGAAUGCAGACAGUGCAAAGCUGCAGAGCAUCCUAUUCUGGCUGGUCGCUCUUUGCAAAAUAUUAGAGACUUCGUCAGGAGCCAAGGCACGACUCGGAAGAAAAAAGCACUGCUACAAAAAAGAUGAUGGCAUUUAAUGGAACAUGCAGUGAGGACAGUUCACAGUUCAACUUCAUUAUUAUGUUACA